RNAcentral lists this transfer RNA (88 nucleotides) under Candidatus Culexmicrobium thermophilum. Its description in RNAcentral is "tRNA-Leu". It matches the Rfam family "tRNA". From Rfam's summary of the family: Transfer RNA (tRNA) molecules are approximately 80 nucleotides in length. Their secondary structure includes four short double-helical elements and three loops (D, anti-codon, and T loops). Further hydrogen bonds mediate the characteristic L-shaped molecular structure. tRNAs have two regions of fundamental functional importance: the anti-codon, which is responsible for specific mRNA codon recognition, and the 3' end, to which the tRNAs corresponding amino acid is attached (by aminoacyl-tRNA synthetases). tRNAs cope with the degeneracy of the genetic code in two manners: having more than one tRNA (with a specific anti-codon) for a particular amino acid; and 'wobble' base-pairing, i.e. permitting non-standard base-pairing at the 3rd anti-codon position. RNAcentral also lists the same sequence under 1 other name. Lineage: Archaea; Thermoproteati; Candidatus Culexarchaeota; Candidatus Culexarchaeia; Candidatus Culexarchaeles; Candidatus Culexmicrobiaceae. The record is from RNAcentral.
GCGGGGGUUGCCGAGCCAGGUAAAAGGCGGCGGACUCAAGAUCCGCUGGCGUAGGCCUGCGUGGGUUCGAAUCCCACCCCCCGCACCA